GUGCUGUAUAAAAGACCUUAGCUGGCUCAGUUCAGCCUCUUGCUGAUCCCUGGUGAUGGUUACUUGCUGAAGGUGAUGAUUCAGGGACAGAAGUCGAUGCAGAUGUGUUUGAGGAGCUUUUGCAAGCAGGGAACCUUACUGUUAGGGUGACAACUGAGAAGUCAACAGUUGCGCUUCAACAUGAUCUAUCAUUUGCUUUGUUGGAGUCACCCAUGUCAGACAACUCAUCUGAGUCAGUGUCAGAAGACUCCUUGCUAGUAUCCUCUGAUUCAUCAGAUGCAACAGUGAUUGUUCAGACAAACGGAGGGAAGAGAAGCCAUGCUGAACGGCAGUCGGCAAAAGAGAUGGUGAGAGAUGCUCUCCAGGCUAAACAAGGUUGGACAGAUUAUUUUGGAUGAAUAUGAUAAAAUGACAAUAUUGAUGGAUGGAACAAGGAGACAGUUG
Molecule: long non-coding RNA, 444 nt
Organism: Acanthopagrus latus (yellowfin seabream)
Lineage: Eukaryota; Metazoa; Chordata; Actinopteri; Spariformes; Sparidae
Exons: 4
Source: RefSeq, a predicted model, not a curated record